AGUGCAGAAACAAGACCUGGUAGCUCACAUUUAUCUCGGUUUGCUGAACCUUUGUCUGAUAAUUCAGUGGCAUGGGGUGCAAUGGGAACAUCUGAUAAGUUGGGAGUAACGUCCUCUAAGAAUGAUGGGUUUUCUCUGACUUAUGGAGAUUUUCCAACACUUAGUUCAGAAAAAGACAGUUCUAGAAAGAAUGCANNNNAGACAGUUCUAGAAAGAAUGCAGACUCUCAAGAUCAUGGUUCUCAUGGUCAUCUGGACUCAUCUGCUGGAGUAGCAUCUGGGAAGGAGGGUACUGGGGAUUCUGCAGGUGAUGGUUUUGUGCAUACGAAUGUCAAGACUGGAGCUGAAAGUCCCUGGAGAAGAGAGAAUUCUCUAUAUGGUGAAGAUGGGGCCAGGGCUAAUGUGGAGAAGUGGCAUGCUGAUCACCAGCCAUAUUCUAAUUCUAGUAUCCCUCCUCAGCAUUAUGAUUCUUGGCAUGGUCCUCCUGUAAAUAAUCAUCCAGGUGGGGUUUGGUUUAGAGGACCUCCAGGAGGUCCACCAUUUGGGUCCCCAGUUGCACCUAGUGGCUUUCCCAUAGAACCAUUUCCUUAUUACCGUCCACAGAUGCCCCCUCCUGCACUUGCUGGUCGACAACCAGUUCCUCCACCAGGAGCCGGACCCAGAGGCCCCCACCCAAAAAAUGGGGAUAUGUACCGACCUCAUAUGCAUGAUGCUUUUAUGCGCCCAAGCAUGC
RNAcentral lists this unclassified non-coding RNA (732 nucleotides) under Hevea brasiliensis (rubber tree). Lineage: Eukaryota; Viridiplantae; Streptophyta; Magnoliopsida; Malpighiales; Euphorbiaceae. The record is from RNAcentral.